RNAcentral lists this non-coding RNA (45 nucleotides) under Schistosoma haematobium. The record is from RNAcentral. Lineage: Eukaryota; Metazoa; Platyhelminthes; Trematoda; Strigeidida; Schistosomatidae.
AUCCAGCUGAUGAGUCCUAAAUAGGACGAAAUGAGCAUCCUAGAU